Molecule: long non-coding RNA, 2443 nt
Organism: Panthera uncia (snow leopard)
Lineage: Eukaryota; Metazoa; Chordata; Mammalia; Carnivora; Felidae
Exons: 2
Source: RefSeq, a predicted model, not a curated record
UUCGGCACAACGUGCUACUGAAAUACCAAAAUCCGCCACCAAAUGGCGGCUCCUGCAGUCUGCUGCGCUGAUAAAGAGGACUCGCCCGGCGUCGCCCAUUUUAGGCCGCUUUCACUUCGCCGCCGUCCCCCCCCGACUCCCCUUCCCAAGCCCUUCCUUUCUCUCCCGGUUUUGGGGUGCCAGGCCAGAUGAGCGUUGCCACCCUGGGGACCCGGCAGGCGCAGGCUCUGUCGGAAGCCGGCGGCGUCCCGGCGUCUUUCGGAGGCGACCUCCCCUGCCUCGGACCGCCAGCCGCCCCGCCCGGUGGCGUGAGGCUGCCAAACCUCUCGGGUGCGCCUGGCCCCGAGACCUAUUUGGGCGUCGCCUUUGGGUCUCCAGGUGUGGGCCUUUGCCCGGAUCUUGAGAUUCCUGUCGCGAAGCCACCGCCUCUUCGACACCGCCACCCAGCUAAAUGUCCUUCCCAGGGGAUUGGAGCCGUUCUUCCCAAUAAACGAGCUCAGCUGGCGGACCCUCUCCCAUCGGCCUUUCCAGUCAACCGCCCUCGAAGCGCGGCCUGGGGGAACCUUCGAGAGGGCAACGCCGUGCUUUCUUAAUAAUUCAGUUUGCAGUCUAUCCGACAAAAUCUCAAACUGCAAGGACACCCCGUUUUUGAAGGAGAAAGGGCGUAGGAUUUGAAGCCGGAGGAGGAGUCGGGGGCAAAGCGAGGCGGCUAUCUGGAACGGCACCGCAAGAAUGCGCGUCGGUGGGCUUUGCAGCCUCCCCGGACGUGGGUCCGUUUCCCACCCGCGCUGAGCUCGAGGCCCAGGGGCCGGUCGCCGUGCCUCCGCGGACGGGCAGACCUGCUGAGGUCUCGGCCGGUGGGCAAGCCUUCGGCAGGAAGGUGGCCGCCCUGGGAGGCCACGCGCACCCCGCCGUCGCCUCCCCUUGCCGCAGGUUCCGACUUUGGAGGGACGACUUCCUUUCGUCACCUCCCGAGCCCGCAGGGCCUGAGAAUCUUGCUUUCAAAUUUGGCGGGAUCCGAGUCUGCCGAACCCAGGGCGGCGCGAGGCGAGCGGCGCACGCGCAAAAUGGCCUCCCGGCGCCCCGCGGCCCUGGCUCACGCGCAGGGCCUGGCGGAGCCCCCGCGGCGCCGUGGUAACCGCGGUCUGCACUGUAGCUCUUAACGCUCCUCCGCGAGCGGCCGGUUAAAAAAUAAGGACGGGGAGCAUGGCGGUUUCCUCCUUAACGUGUCCUGUUGGUAAAGGCUCCCUGACCGGGAAGACAGCGCGGCCGGGAAGGGGAGGUCGUUUUUCUCCAGGCGGUCGUCCUGUGCCUUUUCCACCGGGCACCAAAAUAUAAGAAGCCAUUUCUUUCUUGUCUUUCUUUUUCUUUCUUUUUUUCCUUUUUUUUUUUUUAAGCCGUUGCUCUUUCCAGCCUAAUCACCCUCGCCCCCGCUUUUUCUUCCGAGCGGCGCACUGCGCUCCUGUCUUCGGCUUUGUUUGAGUGUCUUCCACUGUUGGGGGGCAUUGAGAGCAGACACUAGUUCCUGGACAGAUUUCUCUAUCUCCAGUAACCUCUUUAUCCAUCUCGGUAACGUCCUCCUUCCUUCCAUCCCAAUUUUCGACGCGUUUCCCGAGGACCCUGGUCCGAGUCUUCCAAGUCUCUGCUCUCGAUCUGAGUUCUGGCUAAGUUAGAGGGACAGAACUGACAGCACCAAAUAGGCACCGACCUUGAAAUCGUGUAUUCUGUGAAGUUUGGAUUUUAUGAUGACCCAACAAUCAGAGCAAGAAGUCAUCGUUUUCCUGAAAUGUAGGUGACUCCAAGGGAACGACACCUGCUAUUUUUGAAAGUUCCUUCUCACGUGUCUGGAAGGUAUAUUUUAAGAGAAUAAUGGGAACAAUUUAACUCAUUGGGAGUUCUGUUGAAUGCUUACUAUUUAUUUGGAGGGUUAAAUGAGAUUUCGGGAUGAGUCCUCCACAUGCACUUGAACUUAUUCAGAAAAGUCAAAAGGAUCCUAGAAUAGCCUUUGCAGUGAUAAAUGACUUGUGAUGUCGUCGACUUGAUGAAGACGAGGUUGAGAGUGGAGUCUUCAUGUGAGACCUCUAGAAAUUGCACACUAAGAAAAAGAAACUGGUGCAAAUAAAGGAAAUCCGUUUCAAGAACCAAAAGAAGAAAAAAACGUUAAAAAAAAUUAACUGCGGAAACAGGAAACACUCGACUGUGUAAACAUUUUCGGAGACUUUCAUAAUCAAAACUGGGCGAUCUUGAGAUUUGCAAGGAGACCCACAGGCUGAAGUCUCAGGUAUCAACCAGAAGAAGUCGCUGACGACCCAUUUACUGACGAUUUUCGAGGUCUAUUGGCAAAGGAAGAUUGGUGGUUACCGCUGGGGCUGCUGCUGGUUCCGUUCAUAGUACUGGAAAUGUGAGGAAACUGAGGGUGAGGAGACUGAACUGGAGUGCUGGG